AGGCGGAAAGAACAAUAUAGGCCGCGGUCGUAAGCUGGAUUAAAGGCCGACAUCAUGGAGCGUUACGAGGAAGAAGCCGAGGACAGUGACAACGAGACAGACCCAGAACAACUUUUGAACGAAUGGCUCGGCGAAUUGGACAGCUUGACAGUGGUGAGUCUGAGAUUCGAAGAUUCAUGUCUUCUUGGAGGGCCAGUCGAUAAGUAGUUAAAUAUUUAAUAAACAAGUUAUAUUUGUCCAAUUCAUUCGUUGCUGAGAAACUGUCAUAGAGUCUAAAUUGAAGAUUUCUCAAGAACUAGAAUAAAUAACAAAAUUAUCCACGUUACAGGACAACAUAAUUAUUGAAAGUGUUCUUAAUUUGUUCACAUCGAUGGGAUUGUUUUUCCAACUUGUCAAACCACGUACGAAAGUACUCUUUAAUAAAUAAUCAAUCCUUUAAAUUCGGAA
Molecule: non-coding RNA, 447 nt
Organism: Megalopta genalis
Lineage: Eukaryota; Metazoa; Arthropoda; Insecta; Hymenoptera; Halictidae
Source: RefSeq, a predicted model, not a curated record